AUGAUGAACACAUGACUCAAGGACAAAGUGGCUUCAGAAAAGGGAUGGAAAUCUACAAGCAAUAAAAUAGGAGCUACCAACACAGUGCCUCCUGUUAACCACAGCAGACUGCUCUGCUUCCCAGUGAGAAGGCACCACAGAGAGGUGGGGGGAUCUGCUGAGGAGCCAUGGCCAUGCUCCAUAGCCAUGCACCUGCUGAGGAGCCACAGCCUGCACCAUAACAUCACACUGGAUGCAAAAGAGACCCGUCAGAGGAAAGAUCUGCUCCCCGUCACCCGCAGCAUGAUGGGCUGCCAG
RNAcentral lists this long non-coding RNA (297 nucleotides) under Gallus gallus (chicken). RNAcentral's name for it is "lncRNA (ENSGALG00010020337.1)". Lineage: Eukaryota; Metazoa; Chordata; Aves; Galliformes; Phasianidae. The record is from RNAcentral.